AACGAACGCUGGCGGCAUGCCUAACACAUGCAAGUCGAACGAACCCUUCGGGAGUAGUGGCGCACGGGUGCGUCACGCGUGGGAACCUGCCCUUAGGUUCGGAAUAACUCUCCGAAAGGGGUGCUAAUACCGGAUCAUGUCUUCGGACCAAAGAUUUAUCGCCUUUGGUUGGGCAAGAGUUGAAUUAGCUAGUUGGUAGGGUAAAAGCCUACCACGGCGACGAUCCAUAGCUGGUCAGAGAGAAUGGUCAGCGACACUUGGACGAAGACACGGCCGAGACUCCUACGCGAAGGAGCAGUGGGUGAUGUAGGAAAACGGGGGGAGGGAUGAACGUCCUAGGCCGCGAGAGUGAUGAAAGUAGGAAAGUUGAAAAGCGCAAGUAACCGUGAUGAUAAUGACGGUACCUAAUGAAAAAGCGCCGGCUAACUCCGUG
This 433-nucleotide ribosomal RNA is filed under the name uncultured bacterium. RNAcentral describes it as "partial 16S ribosomal RNA". It matches the Rfam family "Bacterial small subunit ribosomal RNA", at positions 29 to 507 of the family's 1533-position model. The record is from RNAcentral.